Molecule: ribosomal RNA, 497 nt
Filed under: uncultured bacterium
Lineage: Bacteria
Description: partial 16S ribosomal RNA
Rfam family: Bacterial small subunit ribosomal RNA
Source: RNAcentral
GAUGAACGCUGGCGGCGUGCCUAAUACAUGCAAGUCGAGCGAACAGACGAGGAGCUUGCUCCUCUGACGUUAGCGGCGGACGGGUGAGUAACACGUGGAUAACCUACCUAUAAGACUGGGAUAACUUCGGGAAACCGGAGCUAAUACCGGAUAAUAUAUUGAACCGCAUGGUUCAACAGUGAAAGACGGUUUUGCUGUCACUUAUAGAUGGAUCCGCGCCGCAUUAGCUAGUUGGUAAGGUAACGGCUUACCAAGGCAACGAUGCGUAGCCGACCUGAGAGGGUGAUCGGCCACACUGGAACUGAGACACGGUCCAGACUCCUACGGGAGGCAGCAGUAGGGAAUCUUCCGCAAUGGGCGAAAGCUUGACGGAGCAACGCCGCGUGAGUGAUGAAGGUCUUCGGAUCGUAAAACUCUGUUAUUAGGGAGGAACAAAUGUGUAAGUAACUAUGCACGUCUUGACGGUACCUAAUCAGAAAGCCACGGCUAACUACGUG